Molecule: long non-coding RNA, 554 nt
Organism: Zophobas morio
Lineage: Eukaryota; Metazoa; Arthropoda; Insecta; Coleoptera; Tenebrionidae
Exons: 3
Source: RefSeq, a predicted model, not a curated record
CUGAAGUUUGCGUCCCCAAUAAACGGCGGAGGCUCCCCCACCGCGCAGAUAAUGAAUCAAAAAAAAGCAUUUUUUUCAGCGCCAACGAAAUCCUUCAUUGGCUCAAAAACUUAUUCUCUGACAUUGUGGCGUUUCUAUAUAAAUUUAAUACACAAUUUCUAUUGGAUCCUCUCUAUGAUUGUUUGAUUCGAUUGGUUAACAUUACGCAUUUGUGCAUUGGCGAUUCGUUGGCCGCCUGCUGGGGGCUAAUUUGGGGAGCUUCGCCGUUCGAUUACGAGAAAAACUCCUCUCGUAUUGAAUUUGGCGCGCUUUUAAUCCAAACGUACAGUUCGUUGCGCAAAAUGGACGACCUCGUGUCGGCCAUGAUUCCAGAACCUUCAUUGGUUCCUGACGGUUUAUGCCUUUCUCCUUUUCUCCUUUCUCACUAUGGAACUUGCGUAUCUUGCCUGAACCCCGCCCAGGCCCACGCGCUUUGGGACUUUUUUAACAAUAAAUUUAGUGACUAUAAUAACGGAUCUGCUCUUCUUUUAUGUGUGCUCUUCUCAACAUUUGUU